This 154-nucleotide non-coding RNA is filed under the name uncultured Solibacillus sp. The record is from RNAcentral. Lineage: Bacteria; Bacillati; Bacillota; Bacilli; Caryophanales; Caryophanaceae.
AAGGUACGCAUUUGUUGUGCGUUUAAAAGGGAAGUUUGGUGCGAAUCCAACACUGUCCCGCAACUGUAUUUCGGAGCAACUCUUAAAAAGCCACUGUAAUUUAACGGGAAGGUAAGAGGCGCGUUGAUGUUAAGUCAGGAGACCUGCCUUUUUC